GGCUGCAACAAAAAUGUAAUGUUCAUCAUUCUAAAACUCUUCAACCUCUCUCUAAUCUCUUUGAACUGAUAAACACUAAGCUUUAUAUCAAUUUAUUGUUUUUGUCUCAUGUCUUUACUAUGUUGCACCGGAACGGAUACGGGGACAGAUACGGGGACGGGGGCGGGGACGGGAAACAGCUAAAUCUAAAAUUUAUAGAUACGGGUACGGCAUGGGUACGUCUAUAUAUAUAUAUAUGUGUGUGUGUAUAUAUAAAUAUUAAAACCAAAGCAUAAAUCUCAUAUUGCACUUAAAUUUCCAAGUACCUCCUUUUGCUCCUGAUUUCUCUAAUUUAGUCACGUAGUUCCAUAAUGGAGCUUCUUCGGAAGCAUUGUCAACAUUAUCACUUGCUCCUUAAGAAGUCAUAACCUGGAAAAAAAAAAUUGUGAGAAGCUUGUAUUAUAUAAACAACACACACGUAAGAAAAACAUAAACAUAAAGAAGUCUAAUACUCUUCUUUUACGUACAAACCAGAAAACACAUACGUACAUUACGUACAUGAAACAAACCAAAUACUAUCUAAUAUUAAUAUUAUCUAAGACUUUCUUUUACGUGAGCAUUGAAAAACCAAAACCAGAGUUUGUGAUAUGCUUACUGUGUUUUUCUUAGAUGUGAGAAAGAUGAAGAAUAAGAGCUUGAUUAAGAUUAAGAGAAUAUGGAUUAAAAGUUUAUAACCCUAAUCGUUUUAUACAAGACGUGUUUCCUUUUUUUUUCAAUUGUUAUCCAAAUAAAAAGAGUAUGAAAAAGUAAAUAAUCAAACUUUUACAAAAUUAUGCCGACUAUACAUCCUAAACGUUUCGGAAACGUUUCCAAAACCUAACCAUGCCGUCCCCAGAAACCUUUACCGUCCCCAGCCUCUCUGAAACGUUUCGGAAACGUUCCCACACCGUCCCCGCGUCGUCCCCGUCCCUGAAACGCCGCUGGUACGCGAGACGUCAAUGAUAUGCCGUCCCCGUGCAUCAUAGUGUCUUUCUCACUAAUUUAUCAUGUUUUUGCAGGUUUUUCAUCACAUGGUUCUCAUCUUCCACUCAUUUAAAGAUUUUCAGAUCUAGAUUUGGAUAUGCAGGUUUUUCAGAUCUGGAAGACGUAUGGGACGACUUACCUGUUAGUCGUCUAAAAUAUAAUGCGUCAGACGACUUUCAGGAAGUCUUCCAGACGAGUCGUCUGACGGAAUCUUCUCUCAUGUCUCUCCCUUUCAUAACAGUUCUGAGCGUUUUGGUUUUUAAUCAGAUGGUUCUUAUCUUCCACUCAUUUAAAGGUAGAUCUAUUAGUUUUAGAUAUAU
This is a long non-coding RNA of Brassica napus (rape), 1322 nucleotides long. RefSeq lists it as uncharacterized. The record is from RefSeq and is a predicted model, not a curated record. The transcript has 3 exons. Lineage: Eukaryota; Viridiplantae; Streptophyta; Magnoliopsida; Brassicales; Brassicaceae.